Molecule: ribosomal RNA, 506 nt
Filed under: uncultured bacterium
Lineage: Bacteria
Description: partial 16S ribosomal RNA
Rfam family: Bacterial small subunit ribosomal RNA
Source: RNAcentral
AUUGAACGCUAACGGCGUGCUUAACACAUGCAAGUCGAGCGGCAGCACAGUAGUAGCAAUACUAUGGGUGGCGAGCGGCGGACGGGUGAGUAAUGCAUAGGAAUCUGCCUUGUAGUGGGGGAUAACCCGGGGAAACUCGGGCUAAUACCGCAUAAUCUCUACGGAGCAAAGUGGGGGACCGUAAGGCCUCACGCUAAAAGAUGAGCCUAUGUUGGAUUAGCUAGUUGGUAGGGUAAAGGCCUACCAAGGCAACGAUCCAUAGCUGGUCUGAGAGAAUGAGCAGCGACACUGGGACUGAGACACGGCACAGACGCCUACGGGAGGCAGCAGUGGGGAAUAUUGGACAAUGGGCGAAAGCCUGAUCCUGCAACGCCGUGUGUGUGAAGAAGGCCUUCGGGUUGUAAAGCACUUUUAGUUGGGAAGAAAAGCUCAAGACUAAUACCCUUGAGUGAUGACGUUAUCAACAGAAAAAGCACUGGCUAACUCUGUGCCAGCCGCCGCAGUAA